GGGUGUUUAUAAUGGGUGUUCUGCAAAAGCACUUCGGGCUUUAUACGCCGGCAUCCU
Molecule: transfer RNA, 57 nt
Filed under: Azygia hwangtsiyui
Lineage: Eukaryota; Metazoa; Platyhelminthes; Trematoda; Azygiida; Azygiidae
Description: tRNA-Cys
Source: RNAcentral